CAGCAGCCGCGGUAAUACGUAGGGGGCGAGCGUUGUCCGGAAUUACUGGGCGUAAAGGGCGUGUAGGCGGCCUGUUAAGUCAGGGGUGAAAGACCGGGGCUCAACCCCGGGGGUGCCUCUGAAACUGGCGGGCUUGAGUGCUCUAGAGGGCAGUGGAAUUCCCGGUGUAGCAGUGAAAUGCGUAGAGAUCGGGAGGAACACCAGUGGCGAAGGCGGCUGCCUGGGGAGUCACUGACGCUGAGGCGCGAAAGCUAGGGGAGCAAACAGGAUUAGAUACCCUGGUAGUCAUAGCCGUAAACGAUGAGCGCUAUGUGUGAGGGGUAUCGACCCCCCUCGUGCAGUAGCUAACGCAUUAAGCGCUCCGCCUGGGGAGUACGGCCGCAAGGUUGAAACUUAAAGGAAUUGGCGGG
This 410-nucleotide ribosomal RNA is filed under the name uncultured microorganism. RNAcentral's name for it is "bacterial SSU rRNA". It matches the Rfam family "Bacterial small subunit ribosomal RNA", at positions 509 to 917 of the family's 1533-position model. The record is from RNAcentral.